GGCAUGGUGGCCAAGUGGUUAAGGCGUCGGUCUCGUACAACCGAAGACCAUGGGUUCAAAUCCCAUCCGUGCCU
Non-coding RNA from Oncorhynchus kisutch (coho salmon), 74 nucleotides. The record is from the annotation of a RefSeq genome assembly. Lineage: Eukaryota; Metazoa; Chordata; Actinopteri; Salmoniformes; Salmonidae.